RNAcentral lists this ribosomal RNA (393 nucleotides) under uncultured bacterium. RNAcentral's name for it is "partial 16S ribosomal RNA". It matches the Rfam family "Bacterial small subunit ribosomal RNA", at positions 362 to 771 of the family's 1533-position model. The record is from RNAcentral.
UAUUGCACAAUGGGGGGAACCCUGAUGCAGCGACGCCGCGCGAGGGAAGAAGGUUUUUGCAUNGUAUACCUCUGUCCUUGGUAAANNCANNNGNCGGUAGCCAAGGAGGAAGCCACGGCUAACUACGUGCNAGCAGCCGCGGUAAUACGUAGGUGGCAAGCGUUGUCCGGAAUUACUGGGUGUAAAGGGAGCGUAGGCGGUUAUGCAAGUUGAAUGUGAAAUCUAUCGGCUCAACUAAUAGGCUGCAUUCAAAACUGUAUAUCUUGAGUGAAGUAGAGGCAGGCGGAAUUCCUAGUGUAGCGGUGAAAUGCGUAAAUAUUAGGAGGAACACCAGUGGCGAAGGCGGCCUGCUGGGCUUUAACUGACGCUGAGGCUCGAAAGCGUGGGUAGCAA